RNAcentral lists this transfer RNA (74 nucleotides) under Candidatus Wolfebacteria bacterium RBG_13_41_7. RNAcentral's name for it is "tRNA-Pro". It matches the Rfam family "tRNA". Rfam says of the family: Transfer RNA (tRNA) molecules are approximately 80 nucleotides in length. Their secondary structure includes four short double-helical elements and three loops (D, anti-codon, and T loops). Lineage: Bacteria; Candidatus Wolfeibacteriota. The record is from RNAcentral.
CGGGCCGUAGUAUAGUGGUAGUAUACGUGCUUUGGGAGCACGCGGUUUGGGUUCGAUUCCCAACGGCCCGACCA